RNAcentral lists this non-coding RNA (130 nucleotides) under pig gut metagenome. Its description in RNAcentral is "FMN riboswitch (RFN element)". It matches the Rfam family "FMN riboswitch aptamer (RFN element)". Rfam says of the family: The RFN element is a highly conserved domain that is found frequently in the 5'-untranslated regions of prokaryotic mRNAs that encode for flavin mononucleotide (FMN) biosynthesis and transport proteins. This element is a metabolite-dependent riboswitch that directly binds FMN in the absence of proteins. The record is from RNAcentral.
CGUUCUCAGGGCAGGGUGCAAUUCCCUACUGGCGGUCAAGCCCGCGAGCGUUUGUGUAUAACCAUACAUAAAGUCAGCAGAUUUGGUGAAAUUCCAAAGCCAACAGUGAAAGUCUGGAUGAAAGAGAAUA